UGGGGAAUAUUGGACAAUGGGCGAAAGCCUGAUCCAGCCAUGCCGCGUGUGUGAAGAAGGUCUUCGGAUUGUAAAGCACUUUAAGUUGGGAGGAAGGGCAGUAAGCGAAUACCUUGCUGUUUUGACGUUACCGACAGAAUAAGCACCGGCUAACUCUGUGCCAGCAGCCGCGGUAAUACAGAGGGUGCAAGCGUUAAUCGGAAUUACUGGGCGUAAAGCGCGCGUAGGUGGUUCGUUAAGUUGAAUGUGAAAGCCCCGGGCUCAACCUGGGAACUGCAUCCAAAACUGGCGAGCUAGAGUGGGGCAGAGGGUGGUGGAAUUUCCUGUGUAGCGGUGAAAUGCGUAGAUAUAGGAAGGAGCACCAGUGGCGAAGGCGACCACCUGGGCUCAUACUGACACUGAGGUGCGAAAACGUGGGGAGCAAACAGG
This 429-nucleotide ribosomal RNA is filed under the name Pseudomonadota bacterium. RNAcentral describes it as "Proteobacteria bacterium partial 16S ribosomal RNA". It matches the Rfam family "Bacterial small subunit ribosomal RNA", at positions 355 to 776 of the family's 1533-position model. The record is from RNAcentral. Lineage: Bacteria; Pseudomonadati; Pseudomonadota.